CCUACGGGAGGCACCAGUGGGGAAUAUUGGGCAAUGGGCGCAAGCCUGACCCAGCAACGCCGCGUGAAGGAAGAAGGCUUUCGGGUUGUAAACUUCUUUUCUGAGGGACGAAGAAAGUGACGGUACCUGAGGAAUAAGCCACGGCUAACUACGUGCCAGCAGCCGCGGUAAUACGUAGGUGGCAAGCGUUAUCCGGAUUUAUUGGGUGUAAAGGGCGUGUAGGCGGGAAAGCAAGUCAGAUGUGAAAACCCAGGGCUCAACCCUUGGCCUGCAUUUGAAACUGUUUUUCUUGAGUGCUGGAGAGGCAAUCGGAAUUCCUGGUGUAGCGGUGAAAUGCGUAGAUAUACGGAGGAACACCAGUGGCGAAGGCGGAUUGCUGGACAGCAACUGACGCUGAGGCGCGAAAGCGUGGGGAGCAAACAGGAUUAGAUACCCCAGUAGUC
RNAcentral lists this ribosomal RNA (443 nucleotides) under uncultured bacterium. RNAcentral describes it as "partial 16S ribosomal RNA". It matches the Rfam family "Bacterial small subunit ribosomal RNA", at positions 338 to 795 of the family's 1533-position model. The record is from RNAcentral.